RNAcentral lists this ribosomal RNA (619 nucleotides) under uncultured bacterium. RNAcentral's name for it is "bacterial SSU rRNA". It matches the Rfam family "Bacterial small subunit ribosomal RNA", at positions 57 to 768 of the family's 1533-position model. The record is from RNAcentral.
GCAAGUCGAGGGACCGGCGCACGGGUGAGUAACACGUAUCCAACCUUCCGUUUACUCAGGGAUAGCCUUUCGAAAGAAAGAUUAAUACCUGAUAGUAAACGAUGGGGAUGCGUUCCAUUAGGUAGUAGGCGGGGUAACGGCCCACCUAGCCGACGAUGGAUAGGGGUUCUGAGAGGAAGGUCCCCCACAUUGGAACUGAGACACGGUCCAAACUCUACGGGAGGCAGCAGUGAGGAAUAUUGGUCAAUGGGCGAGAGCCUGAACCAGCCAAGUAGCGUGAAGGAUGAAGGUCUACGGAUUGUAAACUUCUUUUAUACGGGAAUAUGUACCGUAUGAAUAAGCAUCGGCUAACUCCGUGCCAGCAGCCGCGGUAAUACGGAGGAUGCGAGCGUUAUCCGGAUUUAUUGGGUUUAAAGGGAGCGCAGACGGGAGAUUAAGUCAGUUGUGAAAGUUUGCGGCUCAACCGUAAAAUUGCAGUUGAUACUGGUUUCCUUGAGUGCAGUUGAGGCAGGCGGAAUUCGUGGUGUAGCGGUGAAAUGCUUAGAUAUCACGAAGAACCCCGAUUGCGAAGGCAGCUUGCUAAACUGUAACUGACGUUCAUGCUCGAAAGUGUGGGUAU